UGAGACACGGCCCAGACUCCUACGGGAGGCAGCAGUGGGGAAUUUUCCGCAAUGGGCGAAAGCCUGACGGAGCAAUACCGCGUGAGGGAGGAAGGCUCUUGGGUCGUAAACCUCUUUUCUCAAGGAAGAAUGCAAUGACGGUACUUGAGGAAUAAGCAUCGGCUAACUCCGUGCCAGCAGCCGCGGUAAUACGGAGGAUGCAAGCGUUAUCCGGAAUGAUUGGGCGUAAAGGGUCUGUAGGUGGUACUGAAAGUCUGCUGUUAAAGAGCAAGGCUCAACCUUGUAAGAGCAGUGGAAACUACAGAACUGGAGUGCGGUAGGGGCAAAAGGAAUUCCUGGUGUAGCGGUGAAAUGCGUAGAUAUCAGGAAGAACACCGGUGGCGAAAGCGUUUUGCUAGACCGCAACUGACACUGAGGGACGAAAGCUAGGGGAGCGAAUGGGAUUAGAUACCCCAGUAGUCCUAGCCGUAAACGAUGGAUACUAGGCGUGGCUUGUAUCGACCCGAGCCGUGCCGGAGCUAACGCGUUAAGUAUCCCGCCUGGGGAGUACGCACGCAAGUGUGAAACUCAAAGGAAUUGACGGGGGCCCGCACAAGCGGUGGAGUAUGUGGUUUAAUUCGAUGCAACGCGAAGAACCUUACCAAGACUUGACAUCCUGCGAAUUUUCCUGAAAGGGAAAAGUGCCUUCGGGAGCGCAGAGACAGGUGGUGCAUGGCUGUCGUCAGCUCGUGUCGUGAGAUGUUGGGUUAAGUCCCGCAACGAGCGCAACCCUCGUUUUUAGUUGCCAGCAUUAAGAUGGGCACUCUAGAGAGACUGCCGGUGACAAACCGGAGGAAGGUGAGGAUGACGUCAAGUCAGCAUGCCCCUUACGUCUUGGGCUACACACGUACUACAAUGCUACGGACAAAGGGCGGCUACACAGCGAUGUGAUGCAAAUCUCAGAAACCGUAGCUCAGUUCAGAUCGAAGGCUGCAACUCGCCUUCGUGAAGGAGGAAUCGCUAGUAAUUGCAGGUCAGCAUACUGCAGUGAAUUCGUUCCCGGGCCUUGUACACACCGCCCGUCACACCAUGGAAGUUGGUCACGCCCGAAGUCAUUACCCCAACCGAAAGGAGGGGGAUGCCUAAGGUAGGACUGGUGACUGGGGUGAAGUCGUAACAAGGUAGCCGUACCGGAAGGUGUGGCUGGAUCACCUCCUUU
This 1198-nucleotide ribosomal RNA is filed under the name Sphaerospermopsis reniformis. Its description in RNAcentral is "bacterial SSU rRNA". It matches the Rfam family "Bacterial small subunit ribosomal RNA", at positions 320 to 1533 of the family's 1533-position model. The record is from RNAcentral. Lineage: Bacteria; Bacillati; Cyanobacteriota; Cyanophyceae; Nostocales; Aphanizomenonaceae.